Molecule: unclassified non-coding RNA, 383 nt
Filed under: Hevea brasiliensis (rubber tree)
Lineage: Eukaryota; Viridiplantae; Streptophyta; Magnoliopsida; Malpighiales; Euphorbiaceae
Source: RNAcentral
CUGCUGCUGCACUUCAGGAGAUGAGGGCUAUUGAUCCUUCUAAACCAUCAACUACACCCCUUCUGCAAUUCCAGCAACAUCUUAAUCUCCCAAACAGAUCUGCUGCAUUGAUGCAGCCCCAGAUGUUGCAGCAGUCUCAGUCUCAACAGGCCUUUCUUCAAGGUGUUCAAGAAAACCACCAUCAGCCUCAGGCUCAGGUUCAAACGCAGUCACACCUCAUUCAGCAACAGUUGCAUCACCAGCACUCGCUUAAUAGUCAGCAACAGCAGCAACAACAGCAUUCCCUGCCACAACAACAGCAUCUGGUUGAGAAUCAACAGAUUCCAAAUGUUGUAUCUGCAAUGUCUCAAUUUGCUUCAGCCUCUCAAUCCCAGUCACCACCA